UUUAUGGAGAGUUUGAUCCUGGCUCAGGAUGAACGCUGGCGGCGUGCCUAAUACAUGCAAGUCGAGCGAACGGACGAGAAGCUUGCUUCUCUGAUGUUAGCGGCGGACGGGUGAGUAACACGUGGAUAACCUACCUAUAAGACUGGGAUAACUUCGGGAAACCGGAGCUAAUACCGGAUAAUAUUUUGAACCGCAUGGUUCAAAAGUGAAAGACGGUCUUGCUGUCACUUAUAGAUGGAUCCGCGCUGCAUUAGCUAGUUGGUAAGGUAACGGCUUACCAAGGCAACGAUGCAUAGCCGACCUGAGAGGGUGAUCGGCCACACUGGAACUGAGACACGGUCCAGACUCCUACGGGAGGCAGCAGUAGGGAAUCUUCCGCAAUGGGCGAAAGCCUGACGGAGCAACGCCGCGUGAGUGAUGAAGGUCUUCGGAUCGUAAAACUCUGUUAUUAGGGAAGAACAUAUGUGUAAGUAACUGUGCACAUCUUGACGGUACCUAAUCAGAAAGCCACGGCUAACUACGUGCCAGCAGCCGCGGUAAUACGUAGGUGGCAAGCGUUAUCCGGAAUUAUUGGGCGUAAAGCGCGCGUAGGCGGUUUUUUAAGUCUGAUGUGAAAGCCCACGGCUCAACCGUGGAGGGUCAUUGGAAACUGGAAAACUUGAGUGCAGAAGAGGAAAGUGGAAUUCCAUGUGUAGCGGUGAAAUGCGCAGAGAUAUGGAGGAACACCAGUGGCGAAGGCGACUUUCUGGUCUGUAACUGACGCUGAUGUGCGAAAGCGUGGGGAUCAAACAGGAUUAGAUACCCUGGUAGUCCACGCCGUAAACGAUGAGUGCUAAGUGUUAGGGGGUUUCCGCCCCUUAGUGCUGCAGCUAACGCAUUAAGCACUCCGCCUGGGGAGUACGACCGCAAGGUUGAAACUCAAAGGAAUUGACGGGGACCCGCACAAGCGGUGGAGCAUGUGGUUUAAUUCGAAGCGACGCGAAGAACCUUACCAAAUCUUGACAUCCUUUGACAACUCUAGAGAUAGAGCCUUCCCCUUCGGGGGACAAAGUGACAGGUGGUGCAUGGUUGUCGUCAGCUCGUGUCGUGAGAUGUUGGGUUAAGUCCCGCAACGAGCGCAACCCUUAAGCUUAGUUGCCAUCAUUAAGUUGGGCACUCUAAGUUGACUGCCGGUGACAAACCGGAGGAAGGUGGGGAUGACGUCAAAUCAUCAUGCCCCUUAUGAUUUGGGCUACACACGUGCUACAAUGGACAAUACAAAGGGCAGCGAAACCGCGAGGUCAAGCAAAUCCCAUAAAGUUGUUCUCAGUUCGGAUUGUAGUCUGCAACUCGACUACAUGAAGCUGGAAUCGCUAGUAAUCGUAGAUCAGCAUGCUACGGUGAAUACGUUCCCGGGUCUUGUACACACCGCCCGUCACACCACGAGAGUUUGUAACACCCGAAGCCGGUGGAGUAACCUUUUAGGAGCUAGCCGUCGAAGGUGGGACAAAUGAUUGGGGUGAAGUCGUAACAAGGUAGCCGUAUCGGAAGGUGCGGCUGGAUCACCUCCUUUCU
RNAcentral lists this ribosomal RNA (1554 nucleotides) under Staphylococcus aureus. Its description in RNAcentral is "16S ribosomal RNA". It matches the Rfam family "Bacterial small subunit ribosomal RNA". The record is from RNAcentral. Lineage: Bacteria; Bacillati; Bacillota; Bacilli; Caryophanales; Staphylococcaceae.